UGGCUCAGAAUAAACGCUGGCGGCGUGCCUAACACAUGCAAGUCGAGCGAGAAAGUUCCUUCGGGAGCAAGUAAAGCGGCGGACGGGUGAGUAACGCGUGAGAAUUUACCCUUUAGUGAGGAAUACCUCUGAGAAAUCAGGGCUAAUACUGCAUAAGUCCCUACGGGGAGAAAGGUGGCCUAUUUGCUGCCGCUAAAGGAUAAGCUUGCGGGCUAUUAGCUAGUUGGUGAGGUAAAGGCUCACCAAGGCGAUGAUGGCUAGCCGGCCUGAGAGGGUGUACGGCCACACUGGAACUUAGACACGGUCCAGACUCCUACGGGAGGCAGCAGUGAGGAAUAUUGCGCAAUGGGCGAAAGCCUGACGCAGCGACGCCGCGUGGAGGAUGAAGGUCUUCGGAUUGUAAACUUCUGUUAAGUGGGAAGGAAGAUUUAUCCCUAAUAUGGAUAAAGGAUGACGGUACCAUUAGAGAAAGCACCGGCUAACUUCGUG
This 489-nucleotide ribosomal RNA is filed under the name uncultured bacterium. RNAcentral's name for it is "bacterial SSU rRNA". It matches the Rfam family "Bacterial small subunit ribosomal RNA", at positions 20 to 507 of the family's 1533-position model. The record is from RNAcentral.